Molecule: ribosomal RNA, 253 nt
Filed under: uncultured bacterium
Lineage: Bacteria
Description: partial 16S ribosomal RNA
Rfam family: Bacterial small subunit ribosomal RNA
Source: RNAcentral
UACGGAGGGUGUAAGCAUUACUCGGAUUUAUUGGGCGUAAAGGGCGCGUAGGCUGAAUGGUAAGUCAGAUGUGAAAUUCCGAAGCUCAACUUCGGAGCUGCAUUUGAAACUGCCAAUCUAGAGGGUAGGCGGAGAAAACGGAAUUCCACGUGUAGCGGUGAAAUGCGUAGAUAUGUGGAAGAACACCUGUGGCGAAAGCGGUUUUCCAGCUUACAACUGACGCUGAGGCGCGAAAGCAAGGGGAGCAAUCACG